UUGGAUAUUUCUUGACUUAACA
This 22-nucleotide non-coding RNA is filed under the name Arabidopsis thaliana (thale cress). The record is from RNAcentral. Lineage: Eukaryota; Viridiplantae; Streptophyta; Magnoliopsida; Brassicales; Brassicaceae.